Molecule: long non-coding RNA, 1104 nt
Filed under: Cricetulus griseus (Chinese hamster)
Lineage: Eukaryota; Metazoa; Chordata; Mammalia; Rodentia; Cricetidae
Description: lncRNA (ENSCGRG00015039116.1)
Source: RNAcentral
CCGCCAUGGCGGGUGGGUGAAAGACCCGAGCUAACAUGGGGUUAGCUCGUUAAAUUACAAUAAAGCCUCGUGCAGUUUGCAGCAAGCUCUCGAAUCCGCCUGGUGAUUGGGGUGACCGCGAACCUGGCCUGAGACCCCGGAUACUUGAGUUUUCGGGGGUCUAACAUUUUGGGGGCUCGUCCGCGAUUUGCGACCACCCUUCACCUGAGUGGAUUCGAUCUUGGAGCACAUGGCACGGGAAAGGAGUUCUGCCAUGUGUCACGGGUUAGAAUGUGUUAUGUUGGAGUCCCCCGAGGCUGCUUUUCUGAACUCGAACCACUGCUGCAGCCCUUACAGCUGAGCCUGGCCCAUGUAGACAGACUGCCAGAUCCUGACAGUGACCCAAAGUCUCCAAAGAAGAUUACGAGGCACCUCAGUUCCUGCACCUGGACCAGUGAGCGAGAUGCUCAGAUGUGAUACCUGCCGCCUGCCAGAACCUAGCCGAGACUGUGGACAAAGCUGCUAGACACUGGAAAAUUGAUUGCACCCCUUUGCCUAGACAAAACAAGACAUCUGAAUAUCAGUUGCUGACUACAGACUGUUCUAAGACUGCGAGCCCUGGACUUGCUGUGGAUGUGAACCAGUUCAGCUGAUAUGGACACCCCCUGUCUCUGCAACAGUGUCUGCUACCCAGAAGCCCCUGAUGAAUUCCCCAUUGCCUAAAUCCCUUUUUGCUUUUGACUAGCAUUUCAACCUUCUGGGGUCCCUAACUUCGUCCCAAAGUCAGCAGGAAGCAGUUUAGAAAAGAAUUUCGGCGUCCAUUUUCCCUGGUUAAAAUGCUAAGUCAAAAGGAACUCCCUUACAUGGGGAUGCCAAUAUCUAUCACUCCCUGAUGGGGAUGCUAGAGAGACAGCAAUUCCAUGAUUGGAAUUUCCAGAAAAGAAAAUGGGGGAAUGAAGGAACCGGCUUCCCUUUUGGCAGCCAUAAUGGUUGAACAUGUGCUUCUAUGACCUUGUCCUAGAAACCAGAAAGUCAGAUGCCUGUCUUGUGACAAGGAACCAAUCAGAAGUUAGCUGGUGGUGCUAUGCUUUAUGGCUCUGGGUGUGCUUUACGGACAAGCGCACA